This 3960-nucleotide long non-coding RNA is filed under the name Rhinopithecus bieti (black snub-nosed monkey). Its description in RNAcentral is "lncRNA (ENSRBIG00000045888.1)". The record is from RNAcentral. Lineage: Eukaryota; Metazoa; Chordata; Mammalia; Primates; Cercopithecidae.
CCCAGCUCUUUGGGAGGCUGAGGUGGGAGGAUCACUGGAGCUCAGUAAUUUUACAGCAACCUGGGCUUUGUUGUGAGCAAGUCCCCAUCUCUACAAAAAGUCGUAUCAUCGGAGUACGGUGGCACAUGCCUGCCAGGAGUAGUCACAGCUACUUGCGAGGCUGAGGCGGGAGGAUUGCUUGAGUCCAGGAGGCGGAGGUUGCAGUGAGCCGAGAUCACGCCGCUGCACUCCAGCCUGGCUGACACAGUGAGACCCUGUUUCAAAAAAAAAAAAAUUUAAAAAUUUAAAAUAAAAUUAUACAUAUGUAUUUUUAAAAGACUAGAGGCAAAUUCAUCAAAUGCUCAUGGUGACGGAGCGAGCGUUUUCCCGUCGGGGAUCCCGGCAGUGGGUCUGGGUGGCAGGGCACCUGCAUUCUCAGCCCAGCUUCCCUGCCUCGCCAAGUGACUACGAAAAGCCUUUUCCUCUCUGGGCCUGUUUCCUUAUCUGUGAAAUUAAAGUGUGGAACCAGAAGAUCUAGGAUUCUUUCCAGAUCUGAGUUACACGAGGAUAUUCAGGACUCAGGAUUUACACAGAGCUGCACGGGCGUGGUGGGGGGGGGGCUGCCCAUCCCGCUGCGGGCCUUGCCAGUCACGCCCUCAAUACAACCCUCUCUUGGCAGUCUCCACGGAGGGGAGGAAGCGGCUGCCUGCCCGCCUGUCAAACUCUGAUCUCAAAUUAGAAUGACGCCUCUCAUCUCUGCCCUGCUUUGAAUCUGAGAGGCCUCCUCCGCCCUUCAGCUGCAGCCUCGUGACCAGGAACAGAGCGGGCCCUGUGUCCUGGAGGCCUUCAUCAGGGAAGGGGGAAGCCGUCCAUGCAGGAGGUGACAUGUAUUGAUUACCUGUGCCCCGCCCCUACGCCCCAAAGCCAGACACUGUGCUUAGAGACAUCUCCAGCCCCCACGUCCUGGAAUCUUUGUAGAGGGUCAGCUCUGAGCUCAUGGAGCCAGGCCCUGCCUGCCCACCCAGCUCUAGAGGCUACAGCUGCAGUAAGAAACGAAUCUGCCCUCACCUCCUUCACCUGGAGCCAGCCUCCCCAGCACUCUGGUCUCAGGCGCUGGCGGGCAGCAGAGAUGUAGGGCUUACUCCCAGGAUGGAAUGUGAAGGAGAGAUGGUGGCUCACUGCAGCCUUAACCUCCCAGGCUCAAGCUAUCCUCCUGUCUCAGCCUCCAGAGCAACUAGGACUACAGGUGCACCACCAUGCCCAGGUGAUUUGUUUAAUCUUCAUUUUUUUAUAGAGAGGGGGGUUUCGUCAUGUUGCCCAGACAGGUCUUGAACUCCUGGCCUCAAGCAAUCCUUCCACGUUGGCCUCCCAAAGUGCUGGAAUUACAGGCGUAAGCCAUUGUGCCCAGCCUUGGAGACAGGAGAUUUUUGUUUUGCUUAGUUUUUGGUGGUGUCUCACUCUGUCGCCCACGCUGGAGUGCGGUGGUGCAAUCUCGGCUCACUGCAACCUCCGCCUCCUGGGUUUACGCCAUUCUCCUGCCUCAGCCUCCUGAGUAGCUGGGACUACAGGCGCCCGCCACCACGCCUGGCUAAUUUUGUAUUUUAGUAGAGACGGGGUUUCGCCAUGUUGGCCAGGAUGGUCUCGAACUCCUGACCUUGUGAUCCACCCGCCUCAGCCUCCCAAAGUGCUGGGAUUACAGGCGUGAGCCACCGCGCCCGGCCAGGAGACUGGAGCUUUUCGAAUGGAUCCACUAAAAGGAACAAGAAAGGCUGCGUGUUGGAUCUAUCACGGAUGCUCUGGGCUCUUCAGUGAAGUACUUGUUUAUAAAGUGAGAUGAUUUAAAGCUGGUUUGGUGACAAACACCAAGUGAAAAGCCACACAGGUGGCGUGCAGGCGUGGGAAGAAUUGUGAUGGGAAAUGGAAUGCCUUGAGUUGGGGAAAUGCUGUUUUCCAUCCAAUGCUCACAACAGUCCUCUGAGUGCAGGUCUUACUGUCUCAUCUUACAGAGACAGAAACAGGCCCAGAGAGGUGAGGGGAGUUGCACAAAGUCACUCAGCGAGGGAGUGGAGACGCUGAUCAAUGGUGAUGACUAAUCUUCCGUGGCUGGUAGACCUGGAAAGAGGAGUCUUCCAGGAGCACUGAGCCAGGGUGCCAUGCAGCCCUGGGCUAACGGUUCAGUCCUCUUCUCCGCUGCUGAGCUGUGCCAGGCAGGGGCGUACCCUCGGAUCAGAAACGGUCGCAUCAGACUGGCACAGGCCUGUGGCAGGGCAGAUAGCGAGACUGAUUGGGAAUUGGCAGGUGAGGGAUGGCAAGAAGGAGAACCAGGUCAACUCAUGUCUGCAGAGGCCUGGCAGGCUGGGCUGCCACAGGGACCUCGAGUGUGGAGGAGGAGUAACAUUUGUUCACAGGCUGAGGUUCUUUUAAGCACAGGUUGGCCUGGAACUGGUCUCCUGUUGCAGGCCUCUAACAUGGAAGCUGGUGAUAGGUAAGAAGGAUGUGAGUCAAAGGAAAGCUAUAAGCUCCACAACCACACACACCCGCUCAGACAGACACAGUCCUCACCACAACCACACACACACACUGCAGCGAAUGCACGACCUUCCUAGCAGGUGUUUGUCCUGGGGCCUCUUUUAGAACACACAGGGUGUGGUUUUCACCUUUGGAAUGACUCACUGUUCUGUCCUGUCUCUCUGCCUUUGUUCUAUUGCUAAUCAUAAAGGUUUUUUUUUUUUAAGGCGGAGUCUCGCUCUGUCACCCAGGCUGGAGUGCUGUGGUGUGAUCUCGGCUCACUGCAAGCUCCGCCUCCCGGGUUCACGCCAUUCUCCUGCCUCAGCCUCCCGAAUAGCUGGGACUACAGGCGCCGCCACCUCGCCCGGCUAAUUUUUGUGUUUUUAGUAGAGACAGGGUUUCACCGUGUUGGCCAGGAUGGUCUCCAUCUCUUGACCUCGUGAUCUGCCCACCUCAGCCUCCCAAAGUGCUGGGAUUACAGGCGUGAGCCACCGCGCCCGGCCAUGUCACCCAUAAAAUUUAAUAGCAUGAAGUUUCAUAUGAGCCUGUGGUGGCCAGAGAUGUAAACAUUGGUUCAAAUAAAACUAACAAACAAAGGUGCAUUUCUUUUUUUGUGUGUGUUUGUUUUGAGGCUAAGUCUCGCUCUGUCAUCCAGGCUGGAGGUGCAGUGGUGUGAUCUCGGCUCACUGCAAGCUCCGCCUCCCGGCCUCAAGCAAUUUUCGUGCCUCAGCCUCCCAAGUAGCUGGGAUUACAGGUGUCCACGACCAUGCCCAGCUAAUUUUAUGUUUUAGUAGAGAUGGGGUUUUGCCAUGUUGGCCAGGCUGGUCUCAAACUCUUGGCUUCAAGCUAUUCACCUGCCUUAGCCUCUCAAAGUGCUGGGAUCGUGAGCCACUGGGCCCGGCCUCAUUUUCCCCAUCUGUCUAGUGGGGUUGGUUACUCCUGCCCCACCUGGUUUGAUCCCGCCUAUAAUCUUAGCACGUUGGGAAGUCAAGGUGGUUGGAUCACUUGAGCCCAGGAAUUUGAGACCAGCCUGGACAACACGGAGAAAUCCCAUCUCUACCAAAAAUACAAAAAUUAGCCGGGCAUGAGAGUGCGUGCCUGGAGUCCCAGCUACUCAGGAGGCUGAGGUGGGAGACUCACCUGAGCUUUGGAAGUCGAGGCUACCGUGAGCCGUGAUUGCACCACUGUACUCCAGCCUGGACGAUGGAGUGAAAUCCUGUCAGAAAGAAAGAAAAAGAAAAAGAAAGAAAGAAAGAGAAAAGAAACUGAGGCCCAGGUAAGCUGCUCAGGCCACCAGAUUAAGGCAGUUAAGGAUGGCAUCCAGACCCCUGAAAGGGAGGCCAAGCUAAAGACUGAUUUGGGCAUGGGCAGUUCCUUCUGGCAGACAGCAGAAAAGGAACAAAUGAGAGAAGCAAAGAGUAGGGUCUUGUCUCUGCCCCAGCAAAGCAGCCUCAGAAGAAGUGGACUCAGAAU